ACGCGUAAACAACCCUGGAAUCUUUGUCAUGAAACACCAUUCCUUAUUCUUUUUUAUUUUCUGGACUUUUUCUUAAAAUAAACAUUGGUGACUCCAGAAUUUCUUUUUGGAAGACCCCUAUCGUCGUCCGGUGGAUGAGUAUCUUUUCACUCAUCUUCCGGCUUUCCCUUCUUCCUCGUUCAAUGUCUCCACUCUUCAACUCUUCUCAUUGCAUACACUGAAUCUCUGAUUCAGAAGUUUCUUUCCAAAACUCAUUUCCAUCAGAGAACACUUGGUAGUUGUGAAUUCUUUUCAAAACUGAUUGAAAAUUCAAACACUUCAAACAUUCCUUUUGGUCCCAAAUUUGCAGAUCUCUUUCACCGUCUAUCUGCUCGUCCAAUUCCAGCAAACCCACACCUUCGAUUGCCGCCUCCCCGUCCCCGCCUACUUCGAGGUCGAGUUCUUCGCCGCGCAGAUUCUCAAGUACAAGCUUGGGCAGCUGGGUUUUCUGAGGAGAAUGGGACUCUAGGUGACAUAUGGGAAACUGUCUCGGAUAUUGCUACGCAGAACUUUCAGCAAAUAUACAAAGCAUAUGAGAUUCUUUCAGAUCUGAAUAAAAGGCAAAUAUAUGAUAUCUACAGCAUGGAGGGAUUGACCUCUGGUUUGGAACUUGGUCCAAAGCAUAAUGGAGUUGAAGAGAUCAAGGCAGAGCUCAGAGGGUAUUGCUCCGUUCAUCAUAGUUUUUGCUUAUUUAUAUCAAUACAAUAUGAAUGAGGUUGUUGAACAAUUCUGGAGUUAACUGCUUAAUUUGAAAAAUGAAAUGCUUAUUUUAUUUUUUAAUCAUAUAUUGCUAUUAUUACA
This is a long non-coding RNA of Glycine soja, 840 nucleotides long. RefSeq lists it as uncharacterized. NCBI's taxonomy places the organism in Eukaryota, Viridiplantae, Streptophyta, Magnoliopsida, Fabales, Fabaceae. The record is from RefSeq and is a predicted model, not a curated record. The transcript is spliced from 3 exons.